UGGGGGAUAUUGCGCAAUGGAGGCAACUCUGACGCAGCAACGCCGCGUGAAGGAAGAAGGUCUUCGGAUUGUAAACUUUUGUCUUUGGGGAAGAAAAAAAUGACGGUACCCAAGGAGGAAGCCACGGCUAACUACGUGCCAGCAGCCGCGGUAAUACGUAGGUGGCAAGCGUUGUCCGGAUUUACUGGGUGUAAAGGGCGUGUAGGCGGGAAGGCAGGUCAGAUGUGAAAUACCGAGGCUCAACUUCGGAACUGCAUUUGAAACCGUUUUUCUUGAGUGAUGGAGAGGUAAGUGGAAUUCCUAGUGUAGCGGUGAAAUGCGUAGAUAUUAGGAGGAACACCAGUGGCGAAGGCGACUUACUGGACAUCAACUGACGCUGAGGCGCGAAAGCGUGGGGAGCAAACA
RNAcentral lists this ribosomal RNA (405 nucleotides) under uncultured Eubacteriales bacterium. Its description in RNAcentral is "uncultured Clostridiales bacterium partial 16S ribosomal RNA". It matches the Rfam family "Bacterial small subunit ribosomal RNA", at positions 355 to 774 of the family's 1533-position model. Lineage: Bacteria; Bacillati; Bacillota; Clostridia; Eubacteriales. The record is from RNAcentral.